RNAcentral lists this ribosomal RNA (323 nucleotides) under uncultured Actinomycetes bacterium. RNAcentral's name for it is "bacterial SSU rRNA". It matches the Rfam family "Bacterial small subunit ribosomal RNA", at positions 28 to 351 of the family's 1533-position model. Lineage: Bacteria; Bacillati; Actinomycetota; Actinomycetes. The record is from RNAcentral.
GAUGAACGCUGGCGGCGUGCUUAACACAUGCAAGUCGAACGAGGUCCAACCUUCGGGUGAAGACCGAGUGGCGAACGGGUGAGUAACACGUGGGGAACCUGCCCUUCUCUCUGGGAUAACUCCGGGAAACCGGAGCUAAUACCGGAUACUCCUUGCGGAUCGCAUGGUCCGCUUGGGAAAGCUCCGGCGGUGAAGGAUGGUCCCGCGGCCCAUUAGCUUGUUGGUGAGGUAACGGCUCACCAAGGCGACGAUGGGUAGCCGAGCUGAGAGGCUGAUCGGCCACACUGGGACUGAGACACGGCCCAGACUCCUACGGGAGGCAG